AAAUUCUGGACCGUCAACUCCAACGCAGGUUGCUUCCGCAGUUGUGGCCAGUACCCAUUUCCAGCUGGGUGGACUGAGACAAUGUAGAUUAAGUGUUUUGUCCAAGGACAC
Molecule: long non-coding RNA, 111 nt
Organism: Thalassophryne amazonica
Lineage: Eukaryota; Metazoa; Chordata; Actinopteri; Batrachoidiformes; Batrachoididae
Exons: 3
Source: RefSeq, a predicted model, not a curated record